RNAcentral lists this ribosomal RNA (462 nucleotides) under uncultured Methanomicrobiales archaeon. Its description in RNAcentral is "bacterial SSU rRNA". It matches the Rfam family "Archaeal small subunit ribosomal RNA", at positions 877 to 1338 of the family's 1478-position model. Lineage: Archaea; Methanobacteriati; Methanobacteriota; Methanomicrobia; Methanomicrobiales. The record is from RNAcentral.
CACCACGAACGGUGGAGCCUGCGGUUAAUUAGGACUCAACGCCGGGCAGCUCACCGGAUAAGACAGCUGAAUGAUAGUCGGGCUGAAGACUCUACUUGACUAGCUGAGAGGAGGUGCAUGGCCGUCGUCAGUUCGUACUGUGAAGCAUCCUGUUAAGUCAGGCAACGAGCGAGACCCACGCCAACAGUUGCCAGCUCGUCCUCCGGGAUGGUGGGGACACUGUUGGGACCGCCUCUGCUAAAGAGGAGGAAGGAAUGGGCAACGGUAGGUCAGCAUGCCCCGAAUUAUCUGGGCUACACGCGGGCUACAAUGGGUGGGACAAUGGGUAUCGACACCGAAAGGUGAAGGCAAUCUCCUAAACCCAUCCGUAGUUCGGAUUGUGGGCUGCAACUCGCCCACAUGAAGCUGGAAUCUGUAGUAAUCGUGUCUCAAAAUGGCACGGUGAAUAUGUCCCUGCUCCUU